Molecule: transfer RNA, 72 nt
Filed under: Toxocara canis (dog roundworm)
Lineage: Eukaryota; Metazoa; Nematoda; Chromadorea; Rhabditida; Toxocaridae
Rfam family: tRNA
About the family: Transfer RNA (tRNA) molecules are approximately 80 nucleotides in length. Their secondary structure includes four short double-helical elements and three loops (D, anti-codon, and T loops).
Source: Rfam by way of RNAcentral
GAGGCAGUAGCUUAACGGUAGGGUACUCGUCUGAUAUGCGAAGAAACCCGAGCUCGACCCCCGACUGCUCCG